Molecule: ribosomal RNA, 281 nt
Filed under: uncultured bacterium
Lineage: Bacteria
Description: partial 16S ribosomal RNA
Rfam family: Bacterial small subunit ribosomal RNA
Source: RNAcentral
GGCCCCCUACGGGGCGCAGCAGUGGGGAAUAUUGCACAAUGGGGGAAACCCUGAUGCAGCGACGCCGCGUGAGUGAAGAAGUAUUUCGGUAUGUAAAGCUCUAUCAGCAGGGAAGAAAAUGACGGUACCUGACUAAGAAGCCCCGGCUAACUACGUGCCAGCAGCCGCGGUAAUACGUAGGGGGCAAGCGAUAUCCGGAUUUACUGGGUGUAAAGGGAGCGUAGACGGCAGAGCAAGUCUGAAGUGAAAGCCCGCGGCACACCUGCGGGACGGCUUUGGAA